AAGUCGUAACAAGGUUUCCGUAGGUGAACCUGCGGAAGGAUCAUUAUUGAAAUAAACCUGAUAGGUUGCUGCUGGUUCUUUAAUGAAUAUGUGCACACCUGUUAUCUUUAUAUCUCCACCUGUGCACUUUUUGUAGACUUGGACAAGUUUCUUGAUGCUCGCAUUAAGGUUUUGGGAUUGACUUUUGUCUCUCCUUAUAUCUCCAGGUCUAUGUUUAUUCAUAUACCCUAAUGUAUGUUAUAGAAUGUAAUAAGUGGGCCUUUGUGCCUAUAACACAAUACAACUUUCAGCAACGGAUCUCUUGGCUCUCGCAUCGAUGAAGAACGCAGCGAAAUGCGAUAAGUAAUGUGAAUUGCAGAAUUCAGUGAAUCAUCGAAUCUUUGAACGCACCUUGCGCUCCUUGGUAUUCCGAGGAGCAUGCCUGUUUGAGUGUCAUUAAUAUAUCAACCUCUUCAGUUUUUUUGCUUGUUGAGUGCUGGAUAUGGGGGCCUUUUGCUGGUCUUUUAAAGAGGUCAGCUCCCCUAAAAUCUAUUAGCGGAACAAUUUGUUGACCGUCCAUUGGUGUGAUAAUUAUCUACGCUAUUGACGUGAGGCAGUUCAGCUUCUAACAGUCCAUUGACUUGGACAGUUUUUUUCAUUAAUGUGACCUCAAAUCACGUAGGACUACCCGCUGAACUUAA
This 680-nucleotide ribosomal RNA is filed under the name uncultured Cortinarius. RNAcentral's name for it is "eukaryotic LSU rRNA". The stretch from base 282 to 435 matches the Rfam family "5.8S ribosomal RNA". The record is from RNAcentral. Lineage: Eukaryota; Fungi; Basidiomycota; Agaricomycetes; Agaricales; Cortinariaceae.